RNAcentral lists this ribosomal RNA (512 nucleotides) under Pseudomonas sp. Its description in RNAcentral is "bacterial SSU rRNA". It matches the Rfam family "Bacterial small subunit ribosomal RNA", at positions 147 to 655 of the family's 1533-position model. The record is from RNAcentral. Lineage: Bacteria; Pseudomonadati; Pseudomonadota; Gammaproteobacteria; Pseudomonadales; Pseudomonadaceae.
CGUUCGGAAACGGACGCUAAUACCGCAACGUCCUACGGGAGAAAGCAGGGGACCUUCGGGCCUUGCGCUAUCAGAUGAGCCUAGGUCGGAUUAGCUAGUUGGUGGGGUAAUGGCUCACCAAGGCGACGAUCCGUAACUGGUCUGAGAGGAUGAUCAGUCACACUGGAACUGAGACACGGUCCAGACUCCUACGGGAGGCAGCAGUGGGGAAUAUUGGACAAUGGGCGAAAGCCUGAUCCAGCCAUGCCGCGUGUGUGAAGAAGGUCUUCGGAUUGUAAAGCACUUUAAGUUGGGAGGAAGGGCAGUAAAUUAAUACUUUGCUGUUUUGACGUUACCGACAGAAUAAGCACCGGCUAACUCUGUGCCAGCAGCCGCGGUAAUACAGAGGGUGCAAGCGUUAAUCGGAAUUACUGGGCGUAAAGCGCGCGUAGGUGGUUCGUUAAGUUGGAUGUGAAAUCCCCGGGCUCAACCUGGGAACUGCAUUCAAAACUGACGAGCUAGAGUAUGGUAGA